CACGGAUGUGGUAACCUUGGCAGGGAUGUGCACCACAUUUGCCGUGCUUGCUUUCCUCUUCUUCAUCGUUCUGAAGCACAACUCAUCGCAUGCCCAUUAAAAUGAUUGAUCCACACGAUGUUGGCUUUGUGUUUCGCUGAUGCAAUUCUGCAAACAUAUUCUAUUUAAUCACAUUGGGGAGAGUACUAUAUAGUGGUGUUGAAAUUUGAAAUGUGCUACUUUCCUUGUCACAAUAUGUAUCAUGAGAUGUUACUGAGUUAUGCAAAUGAUACGAAUUUACAUUACAUUAAUGCAAAACGUUACUCUCCCAUUGUUUCUAGUGCACAAGUCAGAUUGCAUUACUACAUAGGAGUGUCAGGCUACUCAUAUGCAGAAGCGUAAUCAAGAUGCUGAAACCGAAACCAUGUAUAUAUCAUGUAUGCAGAGCUCUAAACAAGCAAGAAAAAUGGAAGGGCAGAGAUGGACGUACAAGCUGCUCUUGCAGGCUGUGGAACUCCCUGACCUUUGGUUGUCUUCCUAUGAGGCAUUUCGUCGAAUAUAUGGCGAGCGUGCUCGCCGCACUGCGACACCACGAGCUUACGAUCACAUUAGCCCAACACGCCAGAAGCAAUGAAGGUAGACUGGUAGGGUACGCCGUGGCGCGCCUUCCCG
RNAcentral lists this long non-coding RNA (651 nucleotides) under Setaria italica (foxtail millet). Its description in RNAcentral is "long non-coding RNA (SITA_LNC002493)". Lineage: Eukaryota; Viridiplantae; Streptophyta; Magnoliopsida; Poales; Poaceae. The record is from RNAcentral.